CCGGAUGUAGUGGGUGUAAAGUGUACGGAGGCGGUCUGGUAAGUCAGUGGUGAAAGCUUGCGGCUCAACCGUAAAAGUGCCAUUGAUACUGCCGGACUUGAGUGUUGGAGGGGUAGCCGGAAUUCCACAAGUAGCGGUGAAAUGCUUAGAUAUGUGGAGGAACGCCGACGGUGAAGACAGGCUACUGGCCGACAACUGACGCUGAGGUACGAAAGCGUGGGGAUCAAAC
Molecule: ribosomal RNA, 229 nt
Filed under: Escherichia coli
Lineage: Bacteria; Pseudomonadati; Pseudomonadota; Gammaproteobacteria; Enterobacterales; Enterobacteriaceae
Description: partial 16S ribosomal RNA
Rfam family: Bacterial small subunit ribosomal RNA
Source: RNAcentral